Molecule: ribosomal RNA, 603 nt
Filed under: uncultured bacterium
Lineage: Bacteria
Description: bacterial SSU rRNA
Rfam family: Bacterial small subunit ribosomal RNA
Source: RNAcentral
CGCGUGGGUACCUGCCUCACACUGGGGGAUAACAGUUAGAAAUAGCUGCUAAUACCGCAUAAGUCCGCAUGGAAAAAACUCCGGUGGUGUGAGAUGGACCCGCGUCUGAUUAGCCAGUUGGCGGGGUAACGGCCCACCAAAGCGACGAUCAGUAGCCGGCCUGAGAGGGUGAACGGCCACAUUGGGACUGAGACACGGCCCAAACUCCUACGGGAGGCAGCAGUGGGGAAUAUUGCACAAUGGGGGAAACCCUGAUGCAGCGACGCCGCGUGAGUGAAGAAGUAUUUCGGUAUGUAAAGCUCUAUCAGCAGGGAAGAAGUGACGGCACCUGAAUAAGAAGCCCCGGCUAACUACGUGCCAGCAGCCGCGGUAAUACGUAGGGGGCAAGCGUUAUCCGGAUUUACUGGGUGUAAAGGGAGCGUAGACGGCAAGGCAAGUCUGAAGUGAAAGCCCGGUGCUUAACGCCGGGACUGCUUUGGAAACUGUUUAGCUGGAGUGCCGGAGAGGUAAGCGGAAUUCCUAGUGUAGCGGUGAAAUGCGUAGAUAUUAGGAAGAACACCAGUGGCGAAGGCGGCUUACUGGACGGUAACUGACGUUGAGGCU